CCUACGGGAGGCAGCAGUGGGGAAUAUUGCACAAUGGGGGGAACCCUGAUGCAGCGACGCCGCGUGAGUGAAGAAGUAUUUCGGUAUGUAAAGCUCUAUCAGCAGGGACGAAGAUGACGGUACCUGCCUAAGAAGCCCCGGCUAACUACGUGCCAGCAGCCGCGGUAAUACGAAGGGUGCGAGCGUUAUCCGGAUUUACUGGGUGUAAAGGGAGUGUAGGCGGCAAGGCAAGUCAGCGGUGAAAUCCCGGGGCCCAACCCCGGGACUGCUAUUGUGACUGUCAUGCUAGAGUGCUGGAGAGGUUAGCGGAAUACCCAGUGUAGAGGUGAAAUGCGUAGAUAUUAGGAGGAACACCAGUGGCGAAGGCGGCUAACUGGACAGUAACUGACGCUGAGGCUCGAAAGCGUGGGGAGCAAACAGGAUUAGAUACCCUUGUAGUC
RNAcentral lists this ribosomal RNA (440 nucleotides) under uncultured bacterium. Its description in RNAcentral is "partial 16S ribosomal RNA". It matches the Rfam family "Bacterial small subunit ribosomal RNA", at positions 338 to 795 of the family's 1533-position model. The record is from RNAcentral.